CCUACGGGAGGCAGCAGUGAGGAAUAUUGGUCAAUGGGCGUAAGCCUGAACCAGCCAAGUCGCGUGAGGGAUGAAGGUUCUAUGGAUCGUAAACCUCUUUUAUAAGGGAAUAAAGUGUGGGACGUGUCCUAUUUUGUAUGUACCUUAUGAAUAAGGAUCGGCUAACUCCGUGCCAGCAGCCGCGGUAAUACGGAGGAUCCGAGCGUUAUCCGGAUUUAUUGGGUUUAAAGGGUGCGUAGGCGGCCUUUUAAGUCAGCGGUGAAAGUCUGUGGCUCAACCAGGGCCUGGCCGGGGAAACGGGGGGGCUGGAGGGGGUUGGAGGCAGGCGGAGGGCGUGGGGUAGCGGUG
Molecule: ribosomal RNA, 348 nt
Filed under: uncultured bacterium
Lineage: Bacteria
Description: partial 16S ribosomal RNA
Rfam family: Bacterial small subunit ribosomal RNA
Source: RNAcentral